RNAcentral lists this ribosomal RNA (496 nucleotides) under uncultured bacterium. RNAcentral's name for it is "partial 16S ribosomal RNA". It matches the Rfam family "Bacterial small subunit ribosomal RNA", at positions 28 to 506 of the family's 1533-position model. The record is from RNAcentral.
GACGAACGCUGGCGGCGUGCCUAAUACAUGCAAGUUGAGCGCUGAAGGUUGGUACUUGUACCGACUGGAUGAGCAGCGAACGGGUGAGUAACGCGUGGGGAAUCUGCCUUUGAGCGGGGGACAACAUUUGGAAACGAAUGCUAAUACCGCAUAAAAACUUUAAACACAAGUUUUAAGUUUGAAAGAUGCAAUUGCAUCACUCAAAGAUGAUCCCGCGUUGUAUUAGCUAGUUGGUGAGGUAAAGGCUCACCAAGGCGAUGAUACAUAGCCGACCUGAGAGGGUGAUCGGCCACAUUGGGACUGAGACACGGCCCAAACUCCUACGGGAGGCAGCAGUAGGGAAUCUUCGGCAAUGGACGAAAGUCUGACCGAGCAACGCCGCGUGAGUGAAGAAGGUUUUCGGAUCGUAAAACUCUGUUGGUAGAGAAGAACGUUGGUGAGAGUGGAAAGCUCAUCAAGUGACGGUAACUACCCAGAAAGGGACGGCUAACUACGG